GACGAACGCUGGCGGCGUGGAUUAGGCAUGCAAGUCGAACGGUAGGAUACCUUCGGGUAUCUGAGAGUGGCGAACGGGUGAGUAACACGUAGGUGAUCUACCCUCAAGAUUGGGACAAACCCAGGGAAACUUGGGCUAAUACCGGAUGAAAGCAGCAGUGAUGUUGUUUGAAAGGUGGCGUAAGCUGCCGUUUGGGGAUGAGCCUGCGCUCUAUUAGUUAGUUGGCGGGGUAAAGGCCCACCAAGGCGAUGAUAGAUAGGCGGCCUUAACGGGUGGUCGCCCACACUGGGAUUGAGAUACGGCCCAGACUCCUACGGGAGGCAGCAGUCGAGAAUAGUCUACAAUGGCCGAAAGGCUGAUAGUGCGACGCCGCGUGAACGAAGAAGCCCUUCGGGGUGUAAAGUUCUUUUAUAUGUGAGCAGUGCUUUCUAUGUGAACAGCAUGGGGAGAGAGAUAUUAGCAUAUGAAUAAGCAACGGCUAACUCCGUG
Molecule: ribosomal RNA, 489 nt
Filed under: uncultured bacterium
Lineage: Bacteria
Description: bacterial SSU rRNA
Rfam family: Bacterial small subunit ribosomal RNA
Source: RNAcentral